AGAACGAACGCUGGCGGCGCGUUUAAGCAUGCAAGUCGAGCGGCAAGGGCCUUCGGGCCCCUAGAGCGGCGGACGGGUGAGUAACACGUGGACAAUCUGCCCCCCGGCCCGGGAUAGCCCAGGGAAACCUGGAUUAAUACCGGAUGAGACGGGACCCGCGAUGGCGGGAUCCGGGAAAGGCGCUGCGGCGCCGCCGGGGGAUGAGUCUGCGUCCCAUUAGCUAGACGGCGGGGUAACGGCCCACCGUGGCGACGAUGGGUAGCCGGCCUGAGAGGGUGGACGGCCACAUUGGAACUGAGACACGGUCCAGACUCCUACGGGAGGCAGCAGCUAAGAAUCUUCCGCAAUGGGCGAAAGCCUGACGGAGCCGACGCCGCGUGAACGAAGAAGGCCGUGAGGUUGUAAAGUUCUUUUCGGGAGGGGGAACAACCGUGGCAGGGAAUGGCCGCGGGAUGACGUGAAUCCCGGAAUAAGCCCCGGCUAACUACGUGCCAGCCGCCGC
RNAcentral lists this ribosomal RNA (502 nucleotides) under uncultured bacterium. Its description in RNAcentral is "bacterial SSU rRNA". It matches the Rfam family "Bacterial small subunit ribosomal RNA", at positions 26 to 518 of the family's 1533-position model. The record is from RNAcentral.